Molecule: ribosomal RNA, 2821 nt
Filed under: Salmonella enterica subsp. enterica serovar Enteritidis
Lineage: Bacteria; Pseudomonadati; Pseudomonadota; Gammaproteobacteria; Enterobacterales; Enterobacteriaceae
Description: bacterial LSU rRNA
Rfam family: Bacterial large subunit ribosomal RNA
Source: RNAcentral
GGGUUGUGAGGUUAAGCGACUAAGCGUACACGGUGGAUGCCCUGGCAGUCAGAGGCGAUGAAGGGCGUGCUAAUCUGCGAUAAGCGCCGGUAAGGUGAUAUGAACCGUUAUAACCGGCGAUACCCGAAUGGGGAAACCCAGUGUGAUUCGUCACACUAUCAUUAACUGAAUCCAUAGGUUAAUGAGGCGAACCGGGGGAACUGAAACAUCUAAGUACCCCGAGGAAAAGAAAUCAACCGAGAUUCCCCCAGUAGCGGCGAGCGAACGGGGAGGAGCCCAGAGCCUGAAUCAGCAUGUGUGUUAGUGGAAGCGUCUGGAAAGGCGCGCGAUACAGGGUGACAGCCCCGUACACAAAAGCGCAUGUGCUGUGAGCUCGAUGAGUAGGGCGGGACACGUGGUAUCCUGUCUGAAUAUGGGGGGACCAUCCUCCAAGGCUAAAUACUCCUGACUGACCGAUAGUGAACCAGUACCGUGAGGGAAAGGCGAAAAGAACCCCGGCGAGGGGAGUGAAAAAGAACCUGAAACCGUGUACGUACAAGCAGUGGGAGCNNGGCGUUAAGUUGCAGGGUAUAGACCCGAAACCCGGUGAUCUAGCCAUGGGCAGGUUGAAGGUUGGGUAACACUAACUGGAGGACCGAACCGACUAAUGUUGAAAAAUUAGCGGAUGACCUGUGGCUGGGGGUGAAAGGCCAAUCAAACCGGGAGAUAGCUGGUUCUCCCCGAAAGCUAUUUAGGUAGCGCCUCGUGAAUUCAUCUCCGGGGGUAGAGCACUGUUUCGGCUAGGGGGCCAUCCCGGCUUACCAACCCGAUGCAAACUGCGAAUACCGGAGAAUGUUAUCACGGGAGACACACGGCGGGUGCUAACGUCCGUCGUGAAGAGGGAAACAACCCAGACCGCCAGCUAAGGUCCCAAAGUCAUGGUUAAGUGGGAAACGAUGUGGGAAGGCCCAGACAGCCAGGAUGUUGGCUUAGAAGCAGCCAUCAUUUAAAGAAAGCGUAAUAGCUCACUGGUCGAGUCGGCCUGCGCGGAAGAUGUAACGGGGCUAAACCAUGCACCGAAGCUGCGGCAGCGACACUGUGUGUUGUUGGGUAGGGGAGCGUUCUGUAAGCCUGCGAAGGUGGCCUGUGAGGGUUGCUGGAGGUAUCAGAAGUGCGAAUGCUGACAUAAGUAACGAUAAAGCGGGUGAAAAGCCCGCUCGCCGGAAGACCAAGGGUUCCUGUCCAACGUUAAUCGGGGCAGGGUGAGUCGACCCCUAAGGCGAGGCCGAAAGGCGUAGUCGAUGGGAAACGGGUUAAUAUUCCCGUACUUGGUGUUACUGCGAAGGGGGGACGGAGAAGGCUAUGUUGGCCGGGCGACGGUUGUCCCGGUUUAAGCGUGUAGGUGUGUGUUCCAGGUAAAUCCGGUUCACUUUAACACUGAGGCGUGACGACGAGGCACUACGGUGCUGAAGCAACAAAUGCCCUGCUUCCAGGAAAAGCCUCUAAGCAUCAGGUAACAUCAAAUCGUACCCCAAACCGACACAGGUGGUCAGGUAGAGAAUACCAAGGCGCUUGAGAGAACUCGGGUGAAGGAACUAGGCAAAAUGGUGCCGUAACUUCGGGAGAAGGCACGCUGACACGUAGGUGAAGUGAUUUACUCAUGGAGCUGAAGUCAGUCGAAGAUACCAGCUGGCUGCAACUGUUUAUUAAAAACACAGCACUGUGCAAACACGAAAGUGGACGUAUACGGUGUGACGCCUGCCCGGUGCCGGAAGGUUAAUUGAUGGGGUCAGCGCAAGCGAAGCUCCUGAUCGAAGCCCCGGUAAACGGCGGCCGUAACUAUAACGGUCCUAAGGUAGCGAAAUUCCUUGUCGGGUAAGUUCCGACCUGCACGAAUGGCGUAAUGAUGGCCAGGCUGUCUCCACCCGAGACUCAGUGAAAUUGAACUCGCUGUGAAGAUGCAGUGUACCCGCGGCAAGACGGAAAGACCCCGUGAACCUUUACUAUAGCUUGACACUGAACAUUGAGCCUUGAUGUGUAGGAUAGGUGGGAGGCUUUGAAGUGUGGACGCCAGUCUGCAUGGAGCCGACCUUGAAAUACCACCCUUUAAUGUUUGAUGUUCUAACGUGGACCCGUUACCCGGGUUGCGGACAGUGUCUGGUGGGUAGUUUGACUGGGGCGGUCUCCUCCUAAAGAGUAACGGAGGAGCACGAAGGUUGGCUAAUCCUGGUCGGACAUCAGGAGGUUAGUGCAAUGGCAUAAGCCAGCUUGACUGCGAGCGUGACGGCGCGAGCAGGUGCGAAAGCAGGUCAUAGUGAUCCGGUGGUUCUGAAUGGAAGGGCCAUCGCUCAACGGAUAAAAGGUACUCCGGGGAUAACAGGCUGAUACCGCCCAAGAGUUCAUAUCGACGGCGGUGUUUGGCACCUCGAUGUCGGCUCAUCACAUCCUGGGGCUGAAGUAGGUCCCAAGGGUAUGGCUGUUCGCCAUUUAAAGUGGUACGCGAGCUGGGUUUAGAACGUCGUGAGACAGUUCGGUCCCUAUCUGCCGUGGGCGCUGGAGAACUGAGGGGGGCUGCUCCUAGUACGAGAGGACCGGAGUGGACGCAUCACUGGUGUUCGGGUUGUCAUGCCAAUGGCACUGCCCGGUAGCUAAAUGCGGAAGAGAUAAGUGCUGAAAGCAUCUAAGCACGAAACUUGCCCCGAGAUGAGUUCUCCCUGAGACUUAAAGUCUCCUGAAGGAACGUUGAAGACGACGACGUUGAUAGGCCGGGUGUGUAAGCGCAGCGAUGCGUUGAGCUAACCGGUACUAAUGAACCGUGAGGCUUAACCUUACAACGCCGAAG